Molecule: ribosomal RNA, 482 nt
Filed under: Mesorhabditis sp. AW-2011
Lineage: Eukaryota; Metazoa; Nematoda; Chromadorea; Rhabditida; Rhabditidae
Description: SSU rRNA
Rfam family: Eukaryotic small subunit ribosomal RNA
Source: RNAcentral
UCAUUCGAGGAGUAGUGAAACAACUAACGAGACUGCUCCCUCUGAACAGUCAUCGAAAUGGGUACAAUUUAAACCCUUUAACGAGGAUCAAUGAGAGGGCAAGUCUGGUGCCAGCAGCCGCGUAAUUCCAGCUCUCAGGGUAUAUGUCAUUAUUGCUGCGGUUAAAAAGCUCGUAGUUGGAUCUGAGCCUUUGGGUACGGUUCAUCUUCUGAUGAUACUGUGUCCGGGGUUAAUUUCGUCGGUUCUCCGGCGAGAGUUACUCUGAAUAAAUCAGAGUGCUCAAAACAAGCGUUUCGUUGAAUGUUUUUGCAUGGAAUAAUGGAAAAGGACUUCGGUUCCUUACUGUUGGUUUCGGAAUUGGAUUAAUGAUUAAGAGGGACCAACGGGGCAUGCGUACCGCUACGGAGAGGUGAAAUUCAUGGACCGUAGCGUGACGAACUAAAGCGAAAGAUUUGAUAGGAAUGUCUUCAUUAAUCAAGACG